This 489-nucleotide ribosomal RNA is filed under the name uncultured bacterium. RNAcentral's name for it is "bacterial SSU rRNA". It matches the Rfam family "Bacterial small subunit ribosomal RNA", at positions 30 to 492 of the family's 1533-position model. The record is from RNAcentral.
CGAACGCUGGCGGCGUGGAUAAGACAUGCAAGUCGAGCGGGAUGUUUCAAAUAGCAAUAUUUGGUGCAUUCAGCGGCGCAAGGGUGUGUAACACGUGGGUAAUAUUCCUAUGAGUUUGGAACAACUCCGAGAAAUCGGAGCUAAUACCAAAUAACUUGAUAGUGUGGCAUCACUCUAUCAUUAAAGUUGGGGACCGUAAGGCCUGACGCUCUAAGAUUAGCCCGCGGCCUAUCAGCUAGUUGGUGAGGUAAAGGCUCACCAAGGCUAAGACGGGUAGCUGGUCUGAGAGGACGACCAGCCACACUGGAACUGAGACACGGUCCAGACACCUACGGGUGGCAGCAGUCGAGAAUUUUUCUCAAUGGGGGAAACCCUGAAGGAGCGACGCCGCGUGGGGGAUGAAUGGCUUCGGCCCGUAAACCCCUGUCAUCUGCGAGCAAUAUUUGUCAUCUAAUAAGUGCCAAAUUGAUAGUAGCGGAAGAGGAAGGG